AUUGAACGCUGGCGGCAGGCCUAACACAUGCAAGUCGAGCGGCAGCGGGAAGUAGCUUGCUACUUUGCCGGCGAGCGGCGGACGGGUGAGUAAUGUCUGGGAAACUGCCCGAUGGAGGGGGAUAACGACUGGAAACGGUAGCUAAUACCGCCUAACGUCGCAAGACCAAAGAGGGGGACCUUCGGGCCUCUUGCCAUCGGAUGUGCCCAGAUGGGAUGAGCUGGUAGGUGGGGUAACGGCUCACCUAGGCGACGAUCCCUAGCUGGUCUGAGAGGAUGACCAGCCACACUGGAACUGAGAUACGGGCCAGACUCCUACGGGAGGCAGCAGUGGGGAAUAUUGCACAAUGGGCGCAAGCCUGAUGCAGCCAUGCGGCGUGUAUGAAGAAGGCCUUCGGGUUGUAAAGUACUUUCAGCGGGGAGGAAGGUGUUGAGGUUAAUAACCUCAGCAAUUGACGUUACCCGCAGAAGAAGCACCGGCUAACUCCGUGCCAGCCGCCGCCGUAA
RNAcentral lists this ribosomal RNA (506 nucleotides) under uncultured bacterium. RNAcentral's name for it is "partial 16S ribosomal RNA". It matches the Rfam family "Bacterial small subunit ribosomal RNA", at positions 29 to 523 of the family's 1533-position model. The record is from RNAcentral.